UUGGAGGGCAAGUCUGGUGCCAGCAGCCGCGGUAAUUCCAGCUCCAAUAGCGUAUAUUAAAGUUGUUGUAGUUAAAAAGCUCGUAGUUGAAUUUCGGGAUUCAUACGUUGGUCGGGCUAUUUGGUCUGUACUUAUGUAAUGGAUUCCUACCUUCUGAAUAACCGGCAUGUCAUUAAUUUGGUGCGCCGGGGAAGCAGGACUGUUACCUUGAAAAAAUUAGAGUGCUUAAAGCAGGCUAUUGCCUGAAUACAUUAGCAUGGAAUAAUGAAAUAGGACGGCAUGGUUCUAUUUUGUUGGUUUCUAGGAUCACCGUAAUGAUUAAUAGGGAUAGUUGGGGGCAUUAGUAUUCAAUUGUCAGAGGUGAAAUUCUUGGAUUUAUUGAAGACUAACUUCUGCGAAAGCAUUUGCCAAGGAUGUUUUCAUUAAUCAAGAACGAAAGUUAGGGGAUCGAAGACGAUCAGAUACCGUCGUAGUCUUAACCAUAAACUAUGCCGACUAGGGAUCGGAUGAUGUUAAUUUUUUUUAAUGACUCAUUCGGCGCCUUACGGGAAAC
RNAcentral lists this ribosomal RNA (553 nucleotides) under uncultured Acaulospora. Its description in RNAcentral is "SSU rRNA". It matches the Rfam family "Eukaryotic small subunit ribosomal RNA", at positions 548 to 1098 of the family's 1831-position model. The record is from RNAcentral. Lineage: Eukaryota; Fungi; Glomeromycota; Glomeromycetes; Diversisporales; Acaulosporaceae.